CUCAUACACACUGCUGCAUUUUAAAUUAACUGUAACCACUCAGGGAAAAGACCUAGAGGUUAUUGUGAACAGCUCAAUAAAAACAUCUGUUAUAUGAACAGAAGCAGUCAGAAAAGCAAACAAAACAUUGGGUUGUACAAGGGAGAUUUUAUAUUAUCAUUUAUAUUAUGAUAAUACAUCAGGACACUGAAAACUGCUUUCUGUCGUGCUAGGCUCUGUGCAAGCAGAGAGUGAAAAUGCAUCCGAGUGUGACCAGGCACCGAUGGACAGGGAGAUUCCUGGAGCAGAGGCUUGCCUUCAAGCAAGGAGAACUGUGUGAUGUGCAAGACUUCUGGCUCUGCAGGCAGCUCACCAAGGAGGAGGUGGUGCUACCUUUGGGAAGACUAUGUCAGCAUCUGCAUACAGUCCCAUCCUGCACAUAUCCUGCUGGUCUCUCUGCUCUGAUCUCAGAAGGCCUCCAACCCCAAUUUACGCAGCAAAGCUCUCCAACACCAGGCAGCCGGGAAGUCUCCAGCUGAAACCUCUCCACAAACUGAUAGGAAGCAGCGAGACCCACAUUGCUUUCAUCAGUCUCAUCCCCAUCCAUAGAGCUAAAGGCUCAGAAAACUUCCAUCCCCCCCUCUACCCUGCACUGUGGUCUCUAUUUUGGGUUCCGGUGUCGCAGCAGCAUUCAUCUUUGUUACACCCAUGGCAUGCCAUCAGCUCACAGGUGAUGAGAAAAAGCAGAUGCAGUUUGCCAUGAGCCAGUUGUUCUCCUGUCUGCACAUCCCAAAAUGAGCUUCAGGAUUUCAAGCAUGCUUCACUGUUCCCAUACAAGGAACCCCUGGAGUCAAAGUGUGCAGUGCAUGAGAUCUGGGCUGGAUGUGACCUUUAGAGUGAAUGCAGCAUGGGGAACAGGAAGAUUCAGCAAAAAAAGAGCAAAUGUCUGAAAAACUGAGAAUUUAAAAGGAAUCUUGUGGUUUUAGCCGAGUUCAAUAUUCUUUUUAGUAUUUUGAGAAGUGAAAAUCUUAGGCAGCUGAACAGAACUUUGCCCAUGGACAAUUCCUGCUUAGAGAAUAAACUUAAAAGAGAAUAAACA
RNAcentral lists this long non-coding RNA (1078 nucleotides) under Coturnix japonica (Japanese quail). RNAcentral's name for it is "lncRNA (ENSCJPG00005019204.1)". Lineage: Eukaryota; Metazoa; Chordata; Aves; Galliformes; Phasianidae. The record is from RNAcentral.